This 73-nucleotide transfer RNA is filed under the name Candidatus Woesearchaeota archaeon. RNAcentral's name for it is "tRNA-Gln". It matches the Rfam family "tRNA". Rfam says of the family: Transfer RNA (tRNA) molecules are approximately 80 nucleotides in length. Their secondary structure includes four short double-helical elements and three loops (D, anti-codon, and T loops). Lineage: Archaea; Nanobdellati; Candidatus Woesearchaeota. The record is from RNAcentral.
AGCCCCAUAGUGUAGUGGACUAUCAUCUCGGGUUCUGGUCCCGAGGACCUCGGUUCGAAUCCGGGUGGGGCUA